AGCGAACGCUGGCGGCAGGCCUAACACAUGCGAGUCGAACGAACCUUUCGGGGUUAGUGGCGGACGGGUGAGGAACACGUGGGAACGUGCCCUUAGGUUCGGAAUAACUCAGGGAAACUUGUGCUAAUACCGAAGGUGCCCUUCGGGGGAAAGAUUGAUGGCCUUUAGAGCGGCACGCGUAUGAUGAGCUAUUUGGUCCAGGUAAUGGCGCACCAAGGCGACGUUGAGUAGCUGGUCUGAGAGGAUGGUCAGCCACAUUGGGACUGAGACACGGCCCAAACUCCUACGGGAGGCAGCAGUGGGGAAUGUUGAGCACUGGGCGAAAGCCUGACGCAGCCAUGUCGCGUGAAUGAUGAAGGUGUUAAGAUUGUAAAAUUCUUUAACAGGGGACGAUAAUGACGGUACCCGGAGAAGAAGCCCCGGCUAACUUCGUG
This 434-nucleotide ribosomal RNA is filed under the name uncultured bacterium. RNAcentral describes it as "partial 16S ribosomal RNA". It matches the Rfam family "Bacterial small subunit ribosomal RNA", at positions 29 to 507 of the family's 1533-position model. The record is from RNAcentral.